CAAAUACCGUAAAUCCACAUAUUUACAUAACAUGGGAUGAAAUGCCCAAUAAUCUAGCACACAUGGCAUCAAGAGAGGCCGUCAAUUACCGGACAAAUGUGGUGAACGAAGCGUUUCUGCUUUGGAAGGGAUCAUCAGCCAGAACCACAACCACAACCACUCAGAUGAAGAAAAGAAAUGAGACACGGCUGGGUAGGGUGGGCAUGCCCCUACCUGAUGCCGAGCUGCAGGUUCAGCAUGAGCUCGUAGUUCUUGUGGCCCUUGGCUAUGGUCUCGCCCUGCCGCCGCGGCCCGCGCCGACCGCCGGCGUAGGGCCCUGUCGCCGGCGACGGCGGCGGCAGGCCCCUCCCAUCGCCGGCGUCCUCCACCCUCACCGUCGCGGCGCGCCCCCUCGUCGUCGUCUUCGUCCUUCUCCAAAAGCGUCGCUCUCGCACCUCCUCU
This 441-nucleotide unclassified non-coding RNA is filed under the name Zea mays. Its description in RNAcentral is "misc RNA Zm00001eb017300". The record is from RNAcentral. Lineage: Eukaryota; Viridiplantae; Streptophyta; Magnoliopsida; Poales; Poaceae.